RNAcentral lists this ribosomal RNA (2137 nucleotides) under Clostridioides difficile. Its description in RNAcentral is "bacterial LSU rRNA". It matches the Rfam family "Bacterial large subunit ribosomal RNA", at positions 569 to 2723 of the family's 2925-position model. Lineage: Bacteria; Bacillati; Bacillota; Clostridia; Peptostreptococcales; Peptostreptococcaceae. The record is from RNAcentral.
AGCUGUGGAAGCACAUUUCUUGUGUGACCGCGUACUUUUUGUAGAACGGGCCAACGAGUUACGUUAAGUAGCAAGGUUAAGCACUUAAGGUGCGGAGCCGUAGCGAAAGCGAGUUUUAACUGAGCGUUCAGUUACUUGACGUAGACCCGAAACCGGGCGACCUACCCAUGAGCAGGAUGAAGCGAAAGUAAAAUUUCGUGGAGGUCCGAACCCACGAGCGUUGAAAAGCUCGGGGAUGACUUGUGGGUAGCGGUGAAAUUCCAAUCGAGCCCGGAGAUAGCUGGUUCUCCCCGAAAUAGCUUUAGGGCUAGCCUCAAGGUGAGAGAUACGGAGGUAGAGCACUGAAUGUCCUAGGGGGUAUUGCACCUACCGAAGACUAUCAAACUCCGAAUGCCGUCAUCUUAUACUUGGGAGUCAGACUGUGGGUGAUAAGAUUCAUAGUCGAAAGGGCAACAGCCCAGAUCGUCAGCUAAGGUCCCUAAAUGUAAGUUAAGUGGUAAAGGAUGUGGGAUUGCACAGACAACCAGGAUGUUGGCUUAGAAGCAGCCACUCAUUCAAAGAGUGCGUAAUAGCUCACUGGUCGAGUGAUCCUGCGCCGAAGAUUUCCGGGGCUAAAACUUACUACCGAAGCUACGGCAUCAGUAAUGAUGGGUAGGGGAGCUUCCCAUACGGGUUGAAGCAUGACCGUAAGGACAUGUGGACAGUAUGGGAGUGAGAAUGUUGGCAUGAGUAGCGAGAUGUGGGUGAGAAUCCCACAGGCCGUAAACCCAAGGUUUCCAGGGGAAGGUUCGUCCGCCCUGGGUUAGUCGGGACCUAAGCUGAGGCCGAAAGGCGUAGGUGAUGGACAACAGGUUGAUAUUCCUGUACUACCGAUAACCGUUUGAGAGAAGGGAUGACACAGUAGGAUAAGCUAAGCACACUGUUGGUUAUGUGUGCCCAAGCAUUGAGGCAGUCAAAGUAGGCAAAUCCGCUUUGAUAAUGCUGGGAUGUGAUGGGGAGCGAAAUUUAGUAGCGAAGUAGCUGAUUUCACACUGUCAAGAAAAGUCUCUAUCGAGGUUAAAGGUACCCGUACCGCAAACCGACACAGGUGGGUGAGGAGAGUAUCCUAAGGCCAGCGAGAGAACUGUUGUUAAGGAACUCGGCAAAAUGACCCCGUAACUUAGGGAUAAGGGGUGCCACCAUCAGGUGGCCGCAGAGAAUAGGCCCAAGCGACUGUUUACCAAAAACAUAGGUUUCUGCUAAGUCGCAAGACGAUGUAUAGGAGCUGACGCCUGCCCGGUGCUGGAAGGUUAAGGGGAUCUGUUAGAGCAAUCGAAGCAGUGAACUUAAGCCCCAGUAAACGGCGGCCGUAACUAUAACGGUCCUAAGGUAGCGAAAUUCCUUGUCGGGUAAGUUCCGACCCGCACGAAAGGCGUAACGAUUUGGGCACUGUCUCAACAACAGACUCGGUGAAAUUGUAAUUCCGGUGAAGAUGCCGGAUACCUGCGACAGGACGGAAAGACCCCAUGGAGCUUUACUGUAGCUUGACAUUGGGUCUUGGUACUACAUGUACAGGAUAGGUGGGAGGCUUUGAAACCAGGACGCCAGUUUUGGCGGAGCCAUCCUUGGGAUACCACCCUUGUAGUACUGGGACUCUAACCAUAGGCCAUGAAUCUGGUCUUGGGACACUGUCAGGUGGGCAGUUUGACUGGGGCGGUCGCCUCCCAAAAGGUAACGGAGGCGCUCAAAGGUUCUCUCAGUACGGUCGGAAAUCGUACGUAGAGUGUAAAGGCAAAAGAGAGCUUGAUUGCAAGACAUACAGGUCGAGCAAGGAUGAAAAUCGGACUUAGUGAUCCGGUGGUUCUGCGUGGAAGGGCCAUCGCUCAACGGAUAAAAGCUACCCUGGGGAUAACAGGCUUAUCUCCCCCAAGAGUCCACAUCGACGGGGAGGUUUGGCACCUCGAUGUCGGCUCAUCACAUCCUGGGGCUGUAGUAGGUCCCAAGGGUUGGGCUGUUCGCCCAUUAAAGUGGUACGCGAGCUGGGUUCAGAACGUCGUGAGACAGUUCGGUCCCUAUCCGUCGCAGGCGUAGGAAAUUUGAGAAGACCUGUCCUUAGUACGAGAGGACCGGGAUGGACGUACCUCUGGUGUACCAGUUG